GCUAAAAAUAGCAUACUACACUUCACUCGUAAUGAAGGGGUCGUCGGUUCAAGUCCGAUUUCCAGCU
This 67-nucleotide transfer RNA is filed under the name Dorea sp. RNAcentral describes it as "tRNA-Thr". Lineage: Bacteria; Bacillati; Bacillota; Clostridia; Lachnospirales; Lachnospiraceae. The record is from RNAcentral.